GACGAACGCUGGCGGCGUGCUUAACACAUGCAAGUCGAACGAUGAACCCGGAGCUUGCUCCGGCGGAUUAGUGGCGAACGGGUGAGUAACACGUGAGUAACCUGCCCUUGACUCUGGGAUAACUGCUAGAAAUGGUAGCUAAUACCGGAUACGACCCUCGGUGGCAUCACCAGGGGGUGGAAAGAAUUUCGGUCAAGGAUGGACUCGCGGCCUAUCAGCUAGUUGGUGAGGUACCGGCUCACCAAGGCGACGACGGGUAGCCGUCCUGAGAGGGUGACCGGCCACACGGGGACUGAGACACGGCCCAGACUCCUACGGGAGGCAGCAGUGGGGAAUAUUGCACAAAGGGCGCAAGCCUGAUGCAGCAACGCCGCGUGAGGGAGGACGGCCUUCGGGUUGUAAACCUCUUUCAGCACAGACGAAGCGCAAGUGACGGUAUGUGCAGAAGAAGGACCGGCCAACUACGUGCCAGCCGCCGCGGUAA
This 484-nucleotide ribosomal RNA is filed under the name uncultured bacterium. RNAcentral describes it as "partial 16S ribosomal RNA". It matches the Rfam family "Bacterial small subunit ribosomal RNA", at positions 28 to 523 of the family's 1533-position model. The record is from RNAcentral.